UCGUGCGUCGGUCAGGCAGGGCGGCGCCUUACAGCGGCACCGCGGCCUGCAUCAUUUCGUUGGCGAAGUGCAGAAUCGCCGCGCACGAC
Molecule: transfer RNA, 89 nt
Filed under: Paraburkholderia caffeinilytica
Lineage: Bacteria; Pseudomonadati; Pseudomonadota; Betaproteobacteria; Burkholderiales; Burkholderiaceae
Description: tRNA-Cys
Source: RNAcentral